AUUGAACGCUGGCGGCAUGCUUUACACAUGCAAGUCGAACGGCAGCGCGGGCUUCGGCCUGGCGGCGAGUGGCGAACGGGUGAGUAAUACAUCGGAACGUGCCCAGUAGUGGGGGAUAGCUCGGCGAAAGCCGGAUUAAUACCGCAUACGACCUGCGGGUGAAAGCGGGGGAUCUUCGGACCUCGCGCUAUUGGAGCCGCCGAUGGCAGAUUAGCUAGUUGGUGGGGUAAAGGCCUACCAAGGCGACGAUCUGUAGCUGGUCUGAGAGGACGACCAGCCACACUGGGACUGAGACACGGCCCAGACUCCUACGGGAGGCAGCAGUGGGGAAUUUUGGACAAUGGGCGAAAGCCUGAUCCAGCAAUGCCGCGUGUGUGAUGAAGGCCUUCGGGUUGUAAAGCACUUUUGGCGGGAACGAAAAGGACUGUGCCAAUACCACGGUUCGAUGACGGUACCCGCAGAAUAAGCACCGGCUAACUACGUG
RNAcentral lists this ribosomal RNA (484 nucleotides) under uncultured bacterium. RNAcentral's name for it is "partial 16S ribosomal RNA". It matches the Rfam family "Bacterial small subunit ribosomal RNA", at positions 29 to 507 of the family's 1533-position model. The record is from RNAcentral.